GACGAACGCUGGCGGCGCGCCUAACACAUGCAAGUCGAACGGAGCUGAGAGAAGCUUGCUUUUCUUAGCUUAGUGGCGAACGGGUGAGUAACGCGUGAGUAACCUGCCCUGGAGUGGGGGACAACAGUUGGAAACGACUGCUAAUACCGCAUAAGCCCACGAUCCGGCAUCGGAUUGAGGGAAAAGGAUUUAUUCGCUUCAGGAUGGACUCGCGUCCAAUUAGCUAGUUGGUGAGGUAACGGCCCACCAAGGCGACGAUUGGUAGCCGGACUGAGAGGUUGACCGGCCACAUUGAGAGUGAGCCUCGGCCCACACUCCCACGGGAGGCAUCAGUGGGGGAUCCUGGACCAUGGGCGAAACACUGCUGCGGCGAUGAGGGGUGGAAGAAGAAGGGCAUGGAAUUGUAAACUGCUGUUGGGAGGGACGAGUAUGAAGGUAGCUAACCAGAAAGUGCCGGCUAGGUAAGUG
RNAcentral lists this ribosomal RNA (468 nucleotides) under uncultured bacterium. RNAcentral describes it as "partial 16S ribosomal RNA". It matches the Rfam family "Bacterial small subunit ribosomal RNA", at positions 28 to 507 of the family's 1533-position model. The record is from RNAcentral.